CUGCUGCCUCCCGUAGGAGUUUGGGCCGUGUCUCAGUCCCAAUGUGGCCGUUCACCCUCUCAGGCCGGCUACUGAUCGUUGCCUUGGUAGGCCAUUACCCCACCAACUAGCUAAUCAGACGCGGAACCAUCGUAUACCACCAGAGUUUUUCACACCGCUUCAUGCGAAGCUGUGCGCUUAUGCGGUAUUAGCGCCUAUUUCUAAGUGUUAUCCCCCAGUAUACGGCAGGUUUUCCACGCGUUACUCACCCGUCCGCCA
RNAcentral lists this ribosomal RNA (258 nucleotides) under uncultured bacterium. RNAcentral describes it as "partial 16S ribosomal RNA". The record is from RNAcentral.